This 109-nucleotide small nucleolar RNA is filed under the name Cavia porcellus (domestic guinea pig). RNAcentral's name for it is "Small nucleolar RNA U13". It matches the Rfam family "Small nucleolar RNA U13". Lineage: Eukaryota; Metazoa; Chordata; Mammalia; Rodentia; Caviidae. The record is from Rfam by way of RNAcentral.
AGUCUUUUAAGGAUAUUACCAUAAGCGUGGUGUUGGGUGUUCAUGCUCCAUGCAUGACAUGUGCUUUCUUUGAACCUUGUUAUGACAUCGAUACAUUGCCCAUCUGACG